ACUGCUGCAUGGAAGCACAACACUUCAAGAGAAAUGUUGAAUAAUGUUUAUCAAAGCCUCUAUUAAUAGGCCUGGAUUUAGGCUUGGUCUGUAAAUGAAUUGUGAAUUAAAUUUUAUUCUAAUGGGGAUAAAAUGGGGUUUUUUUUGUCUGACAUGGAGUCAGUUGUAAUUUCAAAUCCAGCUUUAACAAACCUUUUCAGCCCAUUAUUUCUAGCCACCUUUUGAAUAGUUAUGUAUUUUCUACAGAACGAGGAACACUUACACAGCAAGAAUAGAGACAGAAGCAAAUAAGCAGGCCAUCCAGAAAGUACCUAUGCUGCUCUCCCAGCAGGAUCUCAAUAAUGGUAUUUGAAUGCAGUGAUUGAAAUAGUGAGAUCUCCUAGCAAGGAACUCAUAUGCACUUAGUGAUUCACUUUUUAAAAUCCAUUUGUAAUAAAUUAUUUCAUGGCAUUCCUUUAAUUAUUUAUGAUACCAAAUGGUCAUUCAACAUUCUGACUCAUGGCUUGAUCCACUUACAUAAGCAUAACUAUUCACUGCAUGACUUUCAAGGGUGUUAGGCAUUUUUACUUUACUCAAGCUUGGUUUAAAAUGUCAUUCAAACUGCAAACAGAGGCCAAAAUUGAUUAGCUGUUCUAAAAUCUAAGCCAUAACUUGCAAUUGUGGCAUUGAAAACCUUGCCUAUGUCAUAUAUGUAUCUAAGAGUAUACUGUGUUCAGAAUAAUCUUGUUUUAAAUAAGUACAUAACUAUUUUAAUACACUUCUGAGGGUUUUUUGUUUGUUUUCUGAUUUUCCUUAAACAUAGGUACUUGAUUUAAAUUCUGUACCAUUAUUUAAAAUAUAAAACAAUACAUUAAUGACAAAUUCCGUACCUCUAGUCUAACUAGUGGGAUUGCAUCUCAGAUAGUUAUCUCCUCUUGGGAAUUAAGUUAUGGAGAGCUACCAGGACAAUCUGCUACAGGGUAAUAAACCCCCCAGUAAGACGUGGUCUUUUUGGAGGAAAUUGUGCAUUCAGAAUGGAAAUGAACCUGCUUGCAAAACUCAAAUGCAUACUGUCAUAGGCAGCUUUGAGGUGAAGAAAUCCUAUUUUUCUGUUAUGUAGAAAGCUAGCUGGUAUCAUUAGAGUCUUCAAAUAUGACAUUGACAAUAGAGAUGAGCAUCUGGUAGCAUUUGAUAAUGGUCUAUCACUGGAAAUAAGGUAAUAAAUUUCUCUGUAAUGGUUCACUGCCAACAGUGCUCAUUUAUGAGUGAAAUAAGAUGACCAUUUAUUUUCCCACUUGGGCAAUGUUGCAGAUUUGUGUUCUGUUCCUUUUGGUGAAGAUCUGAAAGGGUUAUUAAAGAUAUAUUAUUGCAAACUAAGUGUAUUGCUUUCAAAUGCUGUGUGUGACAAUUCCUUGUUGUAAUUGUGUUUUAAUGUCAAACACUUUGCAGAUAUAUUCACGUAGGAAUAUAUCUGAAUGUGCAGAAUCCAGUUCUUUCCUCCUUACUACAAAUACAUGCUUUCUGCAUUCAAAGAGUAAAGGCAUAAAUUUUCUGUUGUAGGCUGGAGGAAAUCUGUAAAUUGUGCUAUUUUAACAAUGCAAAAAUCAGCUUAAAGUUGAUUCAUAUGAGCUUAAAACAGCCUUUGUUUCUGGCACCUCUGAAAUAGAAAAUGCUCUAGGGCCUGGAUUCACAACCAAGUUUAUCCAAGGGAA
This 1691-nucleotide long non-coding RNA is filed under the name Taeniopygia guttata (zebra finch). Its description in RNAcentral is "lncRNA (ENSTGUG00000026519.1)". Lineage: Eukaryota; Metazoa; Chordata; Aves; Passeriformes; Estrildidae. The record is from RNAcentral.